Molecule: ribosomal RNA, 571 nt
Filed under: Lophiostoma sp. OTU1 TS-2013
Lineage: Eukaryota; Fungi; Ascomycota; Dothideomycetes; Pleosporales; Lophiostomataceae
Description: eukaryotic LSU rRNA
Rfam family: Eukaryotic large subunit ribosomal RNA
Source: RNAcentral
AAACCAACAGGGAUUGCCCUAGUAACGGCGAGUGAAGCGGCAAGAGCUCAAAUUUGAAAUCUGGCCCUCUCAGGGUCCGAGUUGUAAUUUGUAGAGGGCGCUUUGGCGUUGGCCCCGGCCUAAGUUCCUUGGAACAGGACGUCACAGAGGGUGAGAACCCCGUACGUGGCCGCCGGCCUCCGCCGUGUAAAGCCCCUUCGACGAGUCGAGUUGUUUGGGAAUGCAGCUCUAAAUGGGAGGUAAAUUUCUUCUAAAGCUAAAUACUGGCCAGAGACCGAUAGCGCACAAGUAGAGUGAUCGAAAGAUGAAAAGCACUUUGGAAAGAGAGUCAAAAAGCACGUGAAAUUGUUGAAAGGGAAGCGCUUGCAGCCAGACUUGCCUGUAGUUGCUCAUCCGAGCUCCCGCUCGGUGCACUNUUNUGCGGGCAGGCCAGCAUCAGUCCGGGCGGUCGGAUAAAGGCCUCGGGAAUGUAGCUCCCCUCGGGGAGUGUUAUAGCCCGGGGCNCCAUGCUACCAGCCUGGACUGAGGUCCGCGCAUCUGCUAGGAUGCUGGCGUAAUGGCUGUAAGCGGC